Molecule: long non-coding RNA, 595 nt
Filed under: Panax ginseng (ginseng)
Lineage: Eukaryota; Viridiplantae; Streptophyta; Magnoliopsida; Apiales; Araliaceae
Description: long non-coding RNA (PGIN_LNC007506)
Source: RNAcentral
AGCAAGCUUUCUAUCUUUCUCGGAUCGUAGAGUUGAGCGUUGAGUGUUCUUGCACGUUUUUGUUUUAAUAUUUGCUUAUCUUUCUCAUCUGUCUGUGUUCUGUAUAUAUGUGAUCUUAAAAUCUAUCCAUUGAAGCCUUUUGAAAAAGCAUUAAAUGCGUUUGACCUUUCUGAACUUUGAUGGAGACUUUUCUGCACAUCUUCUGAAUUUCACUCUGGCCCACUGACACAUCAGACUGCUUUCUCACCUAACACCUGAAAAGGUAUUUUUCUCUGCCCAAUGGUCCUUUUCUUAGCUUCUUGAAUACGUUCCUUUUGAUCAAUACUAAGGAUAUCUUUUGUAUCGUUGGGACUGGUGAGUGCUUCAACGUUCAAAACCCAUUCCUCAUUUGUUGGAAUUUAUCUUUAAACAAAAGUUAGGGCUUGAUGCUUCUGACACAAGGCAGAUGACACUCUACUAUCCAUAUCGUAGUGUCUUGUCAUAUUGAUGCUUGCUCUUAAGAGAACACUACGAUUUCUCGCAAGGAUUUGCACACUACGAUCUUUUCACUCGACGAUCAUCACUUACUCGUCUUAUAGACUCAACGUUUCUGAGG